RNAcentral lists this ribosomal RNA (254 nucleotides) under uncultured bacterium. RNAcentral's name for it is "partial 16S ribosomal RNA". It matches the Rfam family "Bacterial small subunit ribosomal RNA", at positions 524 to 776 of the family's 1533-position model. The record is from RNAcentral.
UACGAAGGGAGCUAGCGUUGUUCGGAAUUACUGGGCGUAAAGGGCGCGUAGGCGGUUUGACAAGUCAGGCGUGAAAGCCCCGGGCUCAACUCGGGAAUAGCGCUUGAGACUGUCUUUCUAAGAGUUCGGGAGAGGUAAGUGGAAUUUCCAAUGUAGCAGUGAAAUGCGUAGAUAUUGGAAGGAACACCAGUGGCGAAGGCGGCUUACUGGACCGAUACUGACGCUGAGGCGCGAAAGCGUGGGGAGCAAACAGG